Molecule: ribosomal RNA, 400 nt
Filed under: uncultured bacterium
Lineage: Bacteria
Description: bacterial SSU rRNA
Rfam family: Bacterial small subunit ribosomal RNA
Source: RNAcentral
UCGAGAAUCUUCGGCAAUGGACGCAAGUCUGACCGAGCGACGCCGCGUGCGGGAUGAAGGCCUUCGGGUUGUAAACCGCUGUCAGUGGGGAGGAAGGCUUCGUGAAGAGCGAGGUUUGACCUAUCCGCAGAGGAAGUGAGGGCUAAGCUCGUGCCAGCAGCCGCGGUAAGACGAGCCUCACAAACGUUAUUCGGAAUUACUGGGCUUAAAGGGUGCGUAGGCGGCGCGGAAAGUUGGGUGUGAAAUCCCUCGGCUCAACCGAGGAAUUGCGCUCAAAACUACCGUGCUCGAGGGAGAUAGAGGAAUGCGGAACUUACGGUGGAGCGGUGAAAUGCGUUGAUAUCGUAGGGAACACCGGUGGCGAAAGCGGCAUUCUGGAUCUCUUCUGACGCUGAUGCAC